GAUAAAUAAAUUAAAUACGUAUGCAUUAGAAAAAAGUACACAACUUUUUGAAAAGUUGAAAAAUCAAAUCAUUUUAAUUUUUAACCGUUUCCACAUAAUUUUCUUUUUAGCCGUUUGCAUUGUUAUGUGAAUUUUUUUAUAAAGUUACCUAGUUAUCUAUAAAAAAAAAUGGGGUCCCCUAAAAUUGGGGGCUUAAGGCGAGGGUCUUUUUCUUUGUACUGGUUAGCCGCCCUGCAUAAGACACAAAACAAAAAUAAUAUUAAAAAUUAGAAUGAUAUUAUCGGAUUCAAAAGUUAUGAAGACUUGAUUUCCAAAAAUGAAUCGAGCUGCUACAAUUAUUUUUCUUAAAAAUUAAAAUGUAAACUAUCAAUAGAAAAAGUAAGUUCUUAAGCUUUGAAAUUUAAAUAAAAGAGAUAUAAAAUUAGAAAGGAGAAAGUGAGAAAAAAUAGAAGAGAGGAGGAUAAAAUAUAUAAAAAUAAUUUUUUUAAAAAAAAGAUAAUAACGUAUGCAUUAGAAGAAAGUUCACAACUUUUUGAAAAAUUGAAAAGUGAAAUCAUUUUAAUUUUUAACCAUUUUCACUUAAUUUUUUUAGCCGUUUGGAUUGUUAUGUGAAUUUUUUAAAUUUUUUUUUACCUAAUUAUCUAAAAAAAUGGGGCCCCUAAAAUUGGGGGCCUAAGGCGAGAGUCUUUUUCUUAGUACUGUCCAGCCGCCCUGCAUAAGACACAAGACAAAAAUAAUAUUAGAAAUUAGAAUGAUAUUACCGGAUUCAAAUACUAUGAAACUUGAUUUCCAAAAAUGAAUCGAGCUGCUACAAUUAUUUUUCUUUAAAAUUAUAAUAUAUACUAUCAACAGAGCAAGUACGUUCUUAAACUUUGUAAUUUGAAUAAGAGAGAUAUAAAAUUAGAAAAGAGAAAGUGAGAAGAAAUAGAAUAGAGAAGGGUAAAAUAUAUAAAAACAAAUUUUUUAAAAAAGAAGAUAAAAUAGAUUAAAUAACGUGUGCAUCAGAAGAAAGUACACUUUUUGAAAAGUUAAAAAGUCAAAUCAUUUUAAUUUUUAACCGUUUCCAAAUAAUUUACUUUAGCCGUUUGCAUUGUUAUGUGAUUUUUUUUAAUAAAAUUACCUAAUUAUAUAUAAAAAAAAGGGGUCCUCUAAAAUUGGGACUUAAGGCGAGGGUCUUUUUCUUUGUAGUGGUUAGCCGCCUUGCAUAAGACACAGAACAAAAAUAAUAUUAAAAAUUAGAAUGAUAUUACCGGAUUCAAAAGUUAUGAAGACUUGAUUUUCAAAAAUGAAUCGAGCUGCUACAAUUAUUUUUCUUCAAAAUUAAAAUAUAAACUAUCAAUAGAACAAGUAAGUUCUUACGCUUUAAAAUUUAAUUAAGAGAGACAUAAAAUUAGAUAAGAGAAAGUGAGAAAAAUAGAACAGAGGAGGAUAAAAUGUAUAAAAAUAUUUUUUUUUAAAAAAAGAUAAAACAAAUUAAAUAACGUGUGCAUUAAAAGAAAGUACACAACUUUUUGAAAAAUUGAAAGUCAAAUCAUUUUAAUUUUUAAUCAUUUUCCUUAAUUUGUCUUUUAGCCGUUUGCGUUGUUAUGUGAUUUUUUUUUAAAAAAAUUACCUAAUUAUCCAAAAAAAAUGGGGCCCCUAAAAUUGGAGGCCUAAGGCGAGAGUCUUUUUCUUAGUACUGUCCAGCCACCCCCUGCAUAAGACAAAAAACAAAAAUAAUAUUAGAAAUUAGAAUGAUAUUACCGGAUGUGAAACUUGAUUUCCAAAAAUAAAUCGAGCAGCUACAAUUAUUUUUCUUUAAAAUUAAAAUAUAUACUAUCAACAGAGCAAGUAAGUUCGUAAACUUUGUAAUUUGAAUAAGAGAGAUAUAAAAUUAGAAAAGAGAAAGGAGAAGAAAUAGAAUAGAGAAGGAUAAAAUAUAUAUAAAAAAUAAAAUAAAAAGAUAAAAUAGAUUAAAUAACGUGUGCAUUAGAAGAAAGCAUACAACUUUGUUGAAAAGUUAAAAAGUCAAAUCAUUUUAAUGUUUAACCAUCUUCACUUAAUUUUUUUUAAGCGUUUGCAUUGUUAUGUGAACCUUUUUUUUUUAAUUUACCUAAUUAUCUAACAAAAAAUGGUCCCCAAAGAAAUUAGGGGCCUAAGGCGACGAUCUUUUGCUUUGUACAGGCCAGGCACCCCUGCAUAAGACACAAAACAAAAAUAAUAUUAGAAAUUAGAAUGAUAUUACCGAAUUCAAAAGUUAUGAAGAUUUGAUCUCCAAAAAUGAAUCGAGUUGUUACAAUUAUUUUUCUUCAAAAUUAAAAUAUAAACUAUCAAUAGAGCAAUUAAGUUAUUAACCUUUUAAAUUUGAAUAGAGAGAUAUAAAAUUAGAAAAGAGAAAGUGAGAAAAAUAGACGAGAAGAGGAUAAAAUAUAUAAAAACAAAAUUAAUAAAUAAAUAAAUUAAAUAAUGUGUUCAUUAGAAGAAAGUACACAACUUUUUGAAAAGUCGAAAAGUCAAAUCAUUUUAUAUUUAACCAUUUCCACUUAAAUUUUUUGUUUUAGCUGUUUGCGUUAUUAUGUGAAUUUUUUUUAAUUUAUCUAAUUAUCUAACAAAAAAUGGGGCCCCCUGAAAUUGGGGUCUAAGGCGAGGGUCUUUUUCUUUGUACUGGCCAGCCGCCCCUGCAUAAGGCACAAAACAAAAGUAAUAUUAGAAAUUAGAAUGAUAUUACCGGAUUUAAAAGAUAUGAAGAUUUGAUUUCAAAAAAUAAUCGAGUUGCAUCAAUUAUUUUUCUUUAAAAUUAAAAUGUAAACUAUCAAGAGGGGAGGAUAAAAUAUAUAAAAACAAAAUUAGAAAAUAGAUAAAAUAAAUUAAAUAAUGUGUGCAUUAGAAGAAAGUACACAACUUUUUGAAAAGUUGAAAAGUCAAAUCAUUUUAAUUUUUAACCGUUUCCACUUAAUUUUUUUUAGCGGUUUGCAUUGUUAUGUGAUUUUUUUUAAUUUACCUAAUUAACUAAAAAAAAUGGGACACCCUAAAAUUUGGGGCCUAAAGCGAGGGUCUUUUUCUUUGUACUGAUCAGC
This 3056-nucleotide long non-coding RNA is filed under the name Solanum lycopersicum (tomato). RNAcentral describes it as "long non-coding RNA (SLYC_LNC001137)". Lineage: Eukaryota; Viridiplantae; Streptophyta; Magnoliopsida; Solanales; Solanaceae. The record is from RNAcentral.